GAGGAGAGUUGGGGGGGGGGGGGGAGUAAUGGCAUUACAGCUGCAGUGACUGAAUCCAGGCAGAUUGUUCUCAAGUGAGCGAGACCUGGAUGAAGCAAUAUAAGAGCGACGGGGGAAAAAAACAAAAACAAAAGUAAGCCGACGGGAGACGCGGCGGGGCGUCGAGCUUCAGGCUCUCAGAAAUGAGUUAUAGCCCAACCGUCGGCUGCCGGUGAAUACAGAGCGGGAGACACACGGCGCUGAAGUGUUCCCGAAACCUCUGUUUAUGUGUGUGUGUGUGUGUUCAUUUGAUAUGUGUGAAUCAUUAAACAAUGUCCCUGUGUGAAACCUCUCUGGCAGAAUUUGCCUAGUGUGAAAAUCCAUCCGCCCGCCAUGGGCCAACAUUGUACUCAUUAAUGUCUUGAGAGGUUUGCACCAGAAACACUAAACCCGCCCGCACCACGUGUCUUUGUGCGAAGAUGACAGCAUUUCUGUAUUUAUUUUUAUGCUUGUGUGUUUGGUGUUGCCACGUGUGUGUGUGUGUGUGUGUGUGUGUGUGUGUGUGUGUGUGUGUGUGUGUGUGUGUUUUCCAUCCCUUUGUGUGUUUUGACGUUCGCCUUGCCACAGUCAGUGGAGGCACCGUAAUCCCCCGCCUCUAUUGUGGAUGAGUCACUCUUGUCAGAGCAGCGAUUCAUACAUAUAUUCAAUGGUUUGUCACCGAUGCAGAAGUCAUUAAAUAGGGAAGCGAUGGCGAUGUCACACAAUCGGAUAUAGAGCUGGAAACUCUGGAAACCCUCCAAAUGUUACACCGGCUGAACGUGAUUAAUGAAGCCGCAAAGAGCCAGAAACAAGCGCUCCUUGGUAAAUGGCAAUUUCACAGCGAGGCUGCCGCCACGUUAGCGGCUGUGAGGCUGGAAGUGAUGUUGAUGAACAGGAAGUCACAGGAAUAGUGACUUCCUGUUGGACCCGAUCCGAAGGCUGUUCUUGUAGUUUACAGACUCUGAUUUAUUCGUACGUAGGUAGGUACCCAGAUAGCAGCUGAUUCCGGGGCGGAUCCGCCCUCAGGUCGCUAGAUCCGCCCUCAGGUCGCCAGGUCGCUAGAUCCGCCCUACUGCCGCACUCGGUUUGGUCAUGUGAACCGGAUCCACCCGCAUCUGCAUCCGGUUCACACAGCGGCGGUUGUUCUAAAUCGUUGCUCCUCUGACUUCUGCGGCUCGACUUUCCAAACUGGAAUUUUCAAACCUGCAGCUCUUCGCGCCAGACAUAUUACUUAGUUUUACAGAAGUGUUCAUCAGGAUCGAUCUCUACAAUUCAGGAUGUUCCAUCUGAUUGAAUUCUUGGACAGCAAAACAGUAGCAGUCGUGCCACAAAGCUGGUACAGUGGUGGUGGCUGCGUUUGGCCAGAUUACCCGAGGGACGAAAGGGUGGACAAGGCGGUCCGAAGUGCCGAAGAACCUCAACCUGACUGGCAGACACAUUAUGUCAGAAUAAUUAGAUCAUGCGAUGAUUACUUGGUGGCAAGGCGAUGGUUAACAAAAUAUAUGUCCUGUGACACAUCUGAUCUCCAUUCAGAAGAGGAGGCAAUUCCUAAAAGGAGAAAGCCAAUGCCUGUCCAUUUCUUUGGGGACUCGGAUGCAGACAGCGAGACUGAAAAUCGCCACCCCAAAAAAAAAAAGGGUCCAACCACUAGCAGGACAGUUGCCCCUCCUCCAACUAUUGCCCCUCCUCCACCACGGACUUCAUCACCAGCAGGACAGCGAACAAGCCAUGCAGGGUACACACCAACCUGGCGAGGGGCGAGGUGUGGUUCAGACACCAUUGCCUGCUGUGCUGCUCAAGUUCAAAUGAUGGCCAUGCUGGAGACGCUUACACAGCAGGUCCAUCAAUUAACACAGCAGGUCCAUCAAUUAACUUCCAAAAUUGACAGCUUUGUUCGCCCCAGCGUGACACAAAUGUCUGGUCAAGAAGUGGAGUGGAGAGACCCGUUUCCGUUGACCACAAUGGAGGAAGUGGACAUGUUUGAGCAACAGCUCAAAGAUCCAGCCAACGCUUUAAUGAAGAAGAGUGACUUCAUCACCAGCAGGACAGCGAACAAGCCAUGCAGGGUACACACCAACCUGGCGAGGGGCGAGGUGUGGUUCAGACACCAUUGCCUGCUGUGCUCAAAGAUCCAGCCAACGCUAUAAUGAAGGAGAGUGAUUUCCUCCCUGGGAACAAUCGGAGGACAUGAUGUAAAACGUGCAACGUGGAACAUCCUCGCACGCAUGUUCACUGAUGAUGUUGGCAAGUCCAUAAAUUGGAAAGGGAUUCAUGGAAAAAAAUCUUUCAAUCUAAUGACGUCCAAGACUUUGCUCCUGCGUGAAUGUUACUCAACUAUACCUUUACAUAAUAGUUAUAUGAUAUAUUAGCUCUAUGGAGUGGAGAUGGUCAGCUGCUUCAGGUUCCUCGGGGUCAACAUCAGCAACGACCUCACCUGGUCUGCUCACACAGACAAGGUGGUCAAAGCGGCCCAGAAGCGCCUCUUCUUCCUGAGGAGACUGAAGAAGUUUGGCAUGGAUUCAGUCAUCCUCACCAAUUUCUACAGAUGCACAAUAGAAAGCAUCCUGACUGGGUGCAUCACAGUGUGGGAGCUGCACAGCCAAGGACCGCAAGGCCCUACGCAGUGUGGUCAGGACUGCGGAGUUCAUCAUCGGUAGGGAGCUCCCAGCCCUGCAGGACACGUACCGCACACGAUGCCUCAGGAAGACUGGCAGGAUCCUAAAGGACUGCCAUCAUCCAGCCUUCAGCCUGUUCACCCCGCUGCCUUCUGGAAGGCGGUACCGUAUCAUCCGGUCUCGCACACAGAGACUGGAGAACAGUUUCUUCUGUGUAUCUGACAAUAAAAGACUUGACUUGACUUGACUAUAUUUAGCAUAGCACACUUUAAGUGCCAGACAGCCACUAGAUUUUAAACUGCAUGUCUGAUUUAUGUUGCACUGAGUAUUCAUGUGAUUUUGUAUCUGCUUGUGUGA
This is an RNA transcript of Pseudoliparis swirei, 2990 nucleotides long. RefSeq lists it as uncharacterized. Lineage: Eukaryota; Metazoa; Chordata; Actinopteri; Perciformes; Liparidae. The record is from RefSeq and is a predicted model, not a curated record. The transcript is spliced from 10 exons.